GAUGAAGAACGUAGCGAAAUGCGAUAAGUAAUGUGAAUUGCAGAAUUCAGUGAUCAUCGAAUCUUUGAACGCACCUUGCGCCUUUUGGUAUUCCGAAAGGCACACCUGUUUGAGCGUCAUGAAUACCUCAAUCUCCAUCUUUUCUUCGGAUUGAUGGGUGACUUGGAUGUUGAGCCCUGCUGGUAUGCUAUAUCAGCUGGCUUUAAACUUAUUAGCCGGCUCUGUACUGGAUCGGUUUGACUCGACGUGAUAAUAUUAUCGUUGAGGAUGCAUGUCUCAUGCAGCCGGAAAGUAUCAAAGCAGCUUCUAGCUUGCCUUUAGUGCACUUUUACAUUUUAGACCUCAGAUCAGGUGGGACUACCCGCUGAACUUAAGCAUAUCAAUAAGCGGAGGA
Molecule: unclassified non-coding RNA, 394 nt
Filed under: soil metagenome
Description: partial contains 5.8S ribosomal RNA, internal transcribed spacer 2, and large subunit ribosomal RNA
Rfam family: 5.8S ribosomal RNA (bases 1-119)
Source: RNAcentral